This 1156-nucleotide long non-coding RNA is filed under the name Rattus norvegicus (Norway rat). RNAcentral's name for it is "long non-coding RNA NONRATT031490". Lineage: Eukaryota; Metazoa; Chordata; Mammalia; Rodentia; Muridae. The record is from RNAcentral.
AUUAGAUUUCCAGUACAUCAGUGGUUUCUUGUCCGAUUACUAUGCUUUGAUUUCAUGCUAUAUUCUUGCUGCUGUCUUCCUUGGUCUCUGGAGCAGAUUCUACAUGUGAGAGGCAGUAGAGAGCUAAUAGUACAAGUACCUUGUUUUUUCCUGGGAGUGUUAAGAAAUGGGGUCUUGUUUCUAAUAUAUUCAUUUUGGAUACCUAGAUCUAUCACCAUAAAAGAAUUCAACACUCUAUAUCUGUAUGCCAUCUAAGUAUUUACAAACCCUGAUAUGAUAAGAGUGCUCACUAAUUUUAAUUUUUAUAAAAAUAAUUGUGCUGCUUCCCAACCUCAUUUUCCUAGAACUGUGCAUAUGAAGCACAUGGAAGUAAGGCUGUAAUGAUGGAAGUCCAGUUGGAGAGGAAGCAAACGUCUCUGCUCUCUUUUUAAGUGUCCUCCCUGACUACGUUCUGCCAUAAUGAAAGAGAAAUCAGGAUGCUGAGCUCUAGCACCCAUGGCUUCUCAAUCACCCUUUAUCAUACACAACCUGUUACAGUUAUGUUUGAUUUUUCAGUACCCAAGAACUAAAUUCUAAUAUAAAUAUGUUAGACUGAGUGUCUUCCAGACUUAGCCUAUGGGAAGAAAAUGAGUUCUACAUUAGAGGAGUUGUUACAGAUUAUAAAUUGUAAAUAAUGAUUAGAUCAUAUUAAUUUUGUAUUCAUGAGCUUUCAGGUUAUUUUAUAGCAUUUUUCUCUCUGUACAUUCUAUAGCCUCUGUAUGUAACAGCAACAAACUUUGAUAUGGUGAAUGACAUAAUCAGCAAGUUACUACCAAUGAUAAGAAAGCAUGCAUGAGUAUCCGCAUGACUUUAGAAUGAUAAAUAUUCAAAAGAACUUCAGUUCCCGGGACUUAAGAAAUUUUACAGCUUUUCCUUCCCUACCUGGGGUAAUCAUGAAAUGCCUAAAUGCUGAUGUACAUGGGAAAUUCAUCUUGAAGCCCAGAAACUCAGCAAGAAGCCAGCAGCAAAAGAGUGAGUCUGCCAUCUUCCUUCAGGUGGCUUUUCUUAGUUCCCAUUUUAAUUUGUCAUAAAAUAUCGUAGCAUACUAUCAUUUUCUUGCUUAGGAAAGGGGCACUGUAAAAACAAACAAACAAACAAACAAACAAACAAAACAAAC